AAUCAUGGCUCAGAGUGAACGCUGGCGGUAGGCCUAACACAUGCAAGUCGAACGGCAGCACAGAGGAGCUUGCUCCUUGGGUGGCGAGUGGCGGACGGGUGAGGAAUACAUCGGAAUCUACUCUGUCGUGGGGGAUAACGUAGGGAAACUUACGCUAAUACCGCAUACGACCUACGGGUGAAAGCAGGGGAUCUUCGGACCUUGCGCGAUUGAAUGAGCCGAUGUCGGAUUAGCUAGUUGGG
This 242-nucleotide ribosomal RNA is filed under the name uncultured bacterium. RNAcentral describes it as "partial 16S ribosomal RNA". It matches the Rfam family "Bacterial small subunit ribosomal RNA", at positions 15 to 253 of the family's 1533-position model. The record is from RNAcentral.